AAAAAGUCAUAGGUUUUGGUUUUUGUGGCAUUAAGAAAAAAAACUAACAACAAGCGUGUGAAUCCAAAGAUGAAAAUACAAAGACCUCCACAAGACAUAUUCACAUAUACACGCACGGUAAUACAAGGUAGGCUACAAUCACCAACACCGACUUUUACAUUUGUUAAAAUACAAUGUCCAAAAAAACACCAUAAAAAGAAACUAAGAUCAAAUGAGCAAACAAAUUAGUAAAUAAAAAGAUAAAUAAAUAAAAUGAAGUUACAUAAACAAAAUUCUUAGUAGCAUCAAAAGAAAUUGUGAAAACCAGCUAAUGAUUUAAUGACCUACAAAUGCGAACUAUUCUCACUUUCAAUAUAGCAUCCAUCAUGUUUGUAUGUAGGAUAAGAUUUAUUUCAAAGAUGAUAUUUUACAAUUUUUAAUACUAGAUGCAUAGUCAAAAGAGUGGAUAAAAAUAACCAUAUAAAGUUGGUGAAAGUAAAUAAACACAUAGAAAAAUAAGAUGAGAUACAUUGCAUAACAUCUAUCUAUUGGCCUAUUUAAGAAAAUAAUGCUCAGAACUAUAACCAAUUUAUAAGCCCAUGUGUACUUUAAACAAAACAAAACAAGUAACAAAUAAAAUAUGAAAAGAAAAAAACAACAGCAAAAGAGUAAAAUCUCCAUUACCUUUCUCUCUCAAUCAUCUCUCAAUAUUUUUCACAAAUUUAUUGUUAUGAAGACAUGUUUCUCGCAGAAGAUAACAAAAUCAAAUUCCACACUUAUUCUUUCUAGAUUUGAUCAACAACAAUAAUAAAACUAAAAAUCAUGGAUUAAACCAAAAUCAUCUCUCAACCUCUCACAAUCAAACACAAAUCAAAACCAUAAUAUAGAUCCAAAACAAAAUGAUAACUAGUAUUAAAAAUGGAAUACUGAACUGAAGCGUUGGCUCUGAAGGUUACACUUCCGACGAUGGUACGUAGGUGAUUGCAAGAUGAUCUUUUCCGAUGGUUUAAGUUUGUGAGGAACAGCUUGAAGUUGAGCUACACCUCAUGCACAUUGAUGAUAGGUGAUGUUUAUGGAGAAAAUGUUGGGGUUGAUCUUGGAUGAGUGGGUUGAUUGGUGGUGGCGUACGGAGAGGAGGUUAAUGGCGGAUCCAUUUAUGUGCGUCUGGUGUUGUUGAUAAAAGGUUGUUUUGUGAUGAGAUUCUUGUCUGAGGUUGGUGAGUUUACAUUAAUCAAUUACAGUGAAAAAAGAACACGUUUUCGGUUUGGCAAAUGGAUAGUAAUAUUGGAGAAGGUCCCCUUACUUUUUCCAAUUUUUCUGCUUUUUAUUUCAAGUUACCAGAGAGAGAUAAUCAUCUUUUUGUGCGAUCCUAGUUCCCGUGAGAUACGAUGGGGAACAGGUUAUUUGUGAGAGUGAAUAAUGGUGGGACCUGUGGCAUGCCGAGAAUGGCUCUUUUUUUUAAUUACCAAACCAAUUUACCAGGAGAGGACACACAUGGAGUUGAAGUUAGAGCUGGCAAUCAAUUUCUGCUUAUCCAUUUUCCUUUCUUUUUAAUUCACUUUUUUCUUUUAAUUCUAAUUGGUCAACAAAUGUGAACAUGGAUAAUGUUUGAUAACCAUUAAUUAAAUU
Molecule: long non-coding RNA, 1608 nt
Filed under: Lathyrus oleraceus (garden pea)
Lineage: Eukaryota; Viridiplantae; Streptophyta; Magnoliopsida; Fabales; Fabaceae
Description: Pisum sativum (pea) long non-coding RNA (PSAT_LNC031511)
Source: RNAcentral